ACUGUGAUUCCCUUAGUAACUGCGAGUGAAGCGGGAUAAGCCCAUCGUUUAAUCUUCCCGGACUGUGGACGGGACGACAUGUAACGGUAUGGAUAGGUUCUCUAUCAACUCUGGCUGGUCAAAGUCCUCCGGAUUGAGGUGCCAAAGAGGGUGACAGCCCCGUGUGUGACUGGAAAGAGUUGAGUAUGUGGCCGAUUCCGAGAGUCGGGUUGUUUGGGACUGCAACCUAAAGCAGGUGGUAAACUCCACCCAAGGCUAAAUAUUGACACGAAACCGAUAGCGAAUAAGUACUGUGAAGGAAAGUUGAAAAGAACUCUGAAAAGAGAGUUAAAAGUACGUGAAACCGCUAACGGGGAAGCGGAAGGCAGUGUCGAGAUUGGGUGAGUGAGUUGUCUCAAGUUGGUUUUUAAUUAAUUUGGGGCGACUAGCUUUGCUCGAUGCGUCAGGACUAUUGGUGUGCGGUGGCUCAAUUGUCGGCAUGGCUUCCACGACACUCAUGCGCAUGAACUUGUGUGUGGGCUCGUGGUUGCGGCAGGCAAUCCGCCUCGUGCGCUGAUAUGGAUGUGGUGAGGCGUUGGUGAUGUAGUGUCGGUUGGUGUUGUGUGGUGCUCCGCGUAGUCACAGUGUGGCUACGUGUGGAGAAGUCAUGUGAUAGUUCAACAACCAGUGCCAGGGCCUGACGUGAUACCUAACCUUC
RNAcentral lists this ribosomal RNA (697 nucleotides) under Kudoa thyrsites. RNAcentral describes it as "LSU rRNA". It matches the Rfam family "Eukaryotic large subunit ribosomal RNA", at positions 68 to 644 of the family's 3401-position model. The record is from RNAcentral. Lineage: Eukaryota; Metazoa; Cnidaria; Myxozoa; Multivalvulida; Kudoidae.